RNAcentral lists this long non-coding RNA (1118 nucleotides) under Felis catus (domestic cat). RNAcentral describes it as "lncRNA (ENSFCAG00000045584.2)". Lineage: Eukaryota; Metazoa; Chordata; Mammalia; Carnivora; Felidae. The record is from RNAcentral.
ACACGUGCAUAAGUGCACGUGCAAGGAAACAGACAUGCAAAGAUACCUACAUGGCACACAGAUUAUAGAAGUAAUCAGUUCAUGCCAAUCCCCCUGAUUCGAAUCUAUCCCCACAGAGUUGUCUCUUGCCUUCUCCAAUUACAUAGUUGUAUAUUCCUUUUUCCACCGUGAGAACCCUGGCUCCCAUCGACACCUGCACAUUUACACGUUUGCUCCAUCCUUUAAUUGUGAUCUAGAAUAGGUACGCAGUUGGAGAAUUCCACUGCAGGAAACCAACCUCCUAAAAAGUGGUCAGGAGUUGUUUGCUGUUCUGCUGGCAUCCACCGUAGCCAGAACGGAGGUUCUAUAAUCACAUGCUGCACUUACACAUUCCUUGGACUUCCUCCCGCCUCUCUCCUUUUUUUCAUUACCAAUUUCUCACUUUCUCCUGUCUCCCUUUUUGUCACGGCGUGGCAUUCAUUUAAAAUUACCUUCGUUUUUUUGUUUUCAGUUUGCUUUCGAUUUCAGCUUUUGUUCUCCUCUCCACUGGGACUGGUUCUAUUCUAUUUUAUUUUAUUUUUUGAGCAUUCAGACCCCUAACAGGUGUUCAAAAGUAAAAUAUACCAGGAGAUUUACUCAGAACAGAUCACGGCCUCUUGGACGCCUUCCUUUCUCUCACCUUCCUCCCCUUGCAGCAGACUGUGCUCCUUCGUGCUUUGUGGGAAUUCACGAGACUGCUAUUCUAGCCCGUGUUCCUUCCCGGAUGAGCUGUGGGCCCUCAAAUCUCAAUUUCUUCAUCUGCCGAAUGAAAGACUUCCAGAAGCCAUAUUUGGCAAGCUGGCCGCAGCGACCAUCUGAAUUUGUGCUCCGUGGAUAUGAGCGAGGACAACACGGCAUUUGGAGGCCUAAGAGCAUGAGUGCCAGCAGCCGAGGGGAACACGUGUGGCCAGAGUCCUAUAAGUUGAUCACCUUUUCAUAUUUUUGAUACUGGGGGAUGAGAGGAAGCUCAGUGAUGAGUGGGAAGUUCUCAAUCUUGUUCUUAUGGGUCCCUAGGCAAACCCUGUGUUUCACACUGACCACCUCUCACAUCCUACCACGAAAUACUUUAUGAGCGCUUUACCUCUGAACCGAACUCAGUG